This 237-nucleotide ribosomal RNA is filed under the name uncultured bacterium. Its description in RNAcentral is "partial 16S ribosomal RNA". It matches the Rfam family "Bacterial small subunit ribosomal RNA", at positions 524 to 757 of the family's 1533-position model. The record is from RNAcentral.
UACGUAGGGUGCAAGCGUUUAUCCGGAAAUUAUUGGGCGUAAAGAGCUCGUAGGCGGUUUUGUCGCGUCUGCUGUGAAAACUGGAGGCUCAACCUCCAGUCUGCAGUGGGUACGGGCAGACUAGAGUGCGGUAGGGGAGAUUGGAAUUCCUGGUGUAAGCGGUGGAAUGCGUAGAGAUCGGAGGAACACCAGCGGCGAAGGCGGCAUCCUGGACUGGUACUGACGCUCAGGAGCGAA